UGAGGAAUAUUGGUCAAUGGGCGCGAGCCUGAACCAGCCAAGUAGCGUGCAGGAUGACGGCCCUAUGGGUUGUAAACUGCUUUUGUAUGGGGAUAAAGUCAAUCACGUGUGAUUGUUUGCAGGUACCAUACGAAUAAGGACCGGCUAAUUCCGUGCCAGCAGCCGCGGUAAUACGGAAGGUUCGGGCGUUAUCCGGAUUUAUUGGGUUUAAAGGGAGCGUAGGCCGGAGAUUAAGUGUGUUGUGAAAUGUAGACGCUCAACGUCUGACUUGCAGCGCAUACUGGUUUCCUUGAGUACGCACAACGUUGGCGGAAUUCGUCGUGUAGCGGUGAAAUGCUUAGAUAUGACGAAGAACUCCGAUUGCGAAGGCAGCUGACGGGAGCGCAACUGACGCUUAAGCUCGAAGGUGCGGGUAUCGAACAGGAUUAGAUACCCUGGUAGUCCGCACAGUAAACGAUGGAUGCCCGCUGUUGGUACCUGGUAUCAGCGGCUAAGCGAAAGCAUUAAGCAUCCCACCUGGGGAGUACGCCGGCAACGGUG
RNAcentral lists this ribosomal RNA (540 nucleotides) under uncultured bacterium. Its description in RNAcentral is "bacterial SSU rRNA". It matches the Rfam family "Bacterial small subunit ribosomal RNA", at positions 355 to 896 of the family's 1533-position model. The record is from RNAcentral.